RNAcentral lists this unclassified non-coding RNA (382 nucleotides) under uncultured Elusimicrobia bacterium. Its description in RNAcentral is "contains 16S-23S intergenic spacer region". Lineage: Bacteria; Pseudomonadati; Elusimicrobiota; Elusimicrobia. The record is from RNAcentral.
UCCUUCUUAUCGAAGGCAGUUUUCGAAGAGUGCAUCCCUUGCGGGAUUAGCAACAUCGAAUGGGGGUUGCGCUCGUUGCGGGACUUAACCCAACAUCUCACGACACGAGCUGACGACAACCAUGCAGCACCUCUGCUCGCUCCCUUGCGGGUCGACAUCUGUUUCCAGUUGUCUACCACGAGUAGUUCAAGCCCAGGUAAGGUUCUUCGCGUUGCGUCGAAUUAAACCACAUGCUCCACCGCUUGUGCGGGCCCCCGUCAAUUCCUUUGAGUUUCAACCUUGCGGCCGUACUCCCCAGGCGGUUCAUUUAAUGCGUUAGCGCCGACGCGGAAGGGGUCGAUACCUCCCACAUCUAAUGAACAUCGUUUAGGGCUAGGACUAC